UUACUUUAUUAAUAUAAAGUCAGCUAA
Molecule: transfer RNA, 27 nt
Filed under: Ixodes cordifer
Lineage: Eukaryota; Metazoa; Arthropoda; Arachnida; Ixodida; Ixodidae
Description: partial tRNA-Met
Source: RNAcentral